UCUAAAAAAGACAGAACUACUGCAAACCGACAAGUAGUCUGAGCUUCAUGGAGGAACAUAUAUUUUCUCAUAUAGCAUCAUACGUAAGAUCGCUUUCUGAUUGGCUGGCUACGUCAUUAUUUACAUUUUGGUGCAUUCAUUGGAGAAAACAAAUUGGGAUAGUUGUGGGUUUCAAGUUGUACUCCAUGGUCUGGGCUGUGUCUUUGUGCCUCAGCACUGGGGUCAACAUCAAAAUGAAUCCUCUGCGUUGGAAAUAUCAGAACAAUAUUCAGAUAUGGUUGUGGAGCAACAGAGUCCAGCAGAGAGGAACUCACAAGCCUGUCACCGG
Salmo salar (Atlantic salmon) is the source of this 328-nucleotide long non-coding RNA. RefSeq lists it as uncharacterized. The record is from RefSeq and is a predicted model, not a curated record. NCBI's taxonomy places the organism in Eukaryota, Metazoa, Chordata, Actinopteri, Salmoniformes, Salmonidae.